RNAcentral lists this unclassified non-coding RNA (242 nucleotides) under Hevea brasiliensis (rubber tree). The record is from RNAcentral. Lineage: Eukaryota; Viridiplantae; Streptophyta; Magnoliopsida; Malpighiales; Euphorbiaceae.
AGUUAGUUUCCCUUUAAUUCGGUUGUCUUGCCAGCAUUGCUUAAUUAAGAAGCUUAUGUCGUUUUUAUAAAUGUAAUCCAUAUAAUAAUGCAUUAUGAAUUCAUAUUUACCUUUUUGGUGACUAGGUUGAUAUGUGUUUAAAUAGCAUUUGAGUUUGUUGUUUUUGAACAUUGAAUCUGAGUAAGCUUCAUAGGUUUGACCUUACAUUUGCCUUUUUUCAGGAACUUCAAUUGGAUGAGUUU